GCGCUCGAUGCCUGAUUAGCUUGUUGGUAAGGUAAAAGCUUACCAAGGCUUCGAUCAGUAGCUGGUCUGAGAGGACGACCAGCCACACUGGGACUGAGACACGGCCCAGACUCCUACGGGAGGCAGCAGUGGGGAAUUUUGGACAAUGGGGGCAACCCUGAUCCAGCCAUGCCGCGUGAGUGAAGAAGGCCUUCGGGUUGUAAAGCUCUUUCAGCCGGAACGAAACGGUUACGGUUAAUACCCGUGACUAAUGACGGUACCGGAAGAAGAAG
RNAcentral lists this ribosomal RNA (272 nucleotides) under uncultured beta proteobacterium. Its description in RNAcentral is "partial 16S ribosomal RNA". It matches the Rfam family "Bacterial small subunit ribosomal RNA", at positions 226 to 490 of the family's 1533-position model. Lineage: Bacteria; Pseudomonadati; Pseudomonadota; Betaproteobacteria. The record is from RNAcentral.